Molecule: ribosomal RNA, 1737 nt
Filed under: Triticum aestivum (bread wheat)
Lineage: Eukaryota; Viridiplantae; Streptophyta; Magnoliopsida; Poales; Poaceae
Description: partial small subunit ribosomal RNA
Source: RNAcentral
AUGGUGGCCUUCAGCAGCUUCCUGCUCCCCCCGCCGUCGCCUCCGCUGCCCAGCCCCGCCGCAGCCGCCGCCUCCGCCUCCACCUCCUCGUCCUCGUACCCAGUGGCCACGCACCGCGGCCGCCGCCCGCGGGAACCUCGCUGCCGCUGCGGCCGCUCGCCGGAGAUAACCCCCGCCACCACCACCAGCAGCGGCUCCGGCGACCGCGGCCCGUGCGAAGAGGAGGACGCCUCCGCCCCGCCUCCCCUCCCCGUCGAACUCGACAGCGCCGCCGCCACAUCCGCGGACAGCCUAACCGGAAGUGCGACGCCAAGAUAUCAGGCAACUUCGACUAAAGGGGACACUAGGAAUGGAGAUUUUGAAAAAUGGGAAAACAAUCAACGCGGGACAGAUGGUUUAUCCAGUAGCAAGUCCAAGUCAGCUUACUCCAAAGCAUUUGGGGUGGAUUUGUCCCCUGAUAACGUGGCUGUUGCCACUGUUUAUUUUGUGCAAGGAGUUUUAGGUCUUUCCAGACUAGCUGUCAGCUUUUACUUAAAAGAUGAUCUUCAGCUUGAUCCGGCAGAGACUGCAGUUAUAACUGGUUUCUCAGCUUUGCCGUGGUUGGUCAAGCCUCUUUAUGGUUUUAUCAGUGAUUCCGUCCCCCUCUUUGGAUAUCGAAGAAGGUCAUACCUCAUUCUAUCAGGACUCCUAGGAGCAAUUUCAUGGAGCUUGAUGGCAACAGUUGUGGAUGAUAAGUACAGUGCAGCGCUCUCUAUUAUUCUUGGAUCUCUUGCAGUUGCCUUCUCUGAUGUUGUGGUUGAUUCUAUGGUCGUUGAGAGAGCUCGGGGUGAGUCACAGAGUACAUCUGGAUCUCUCCAGUCACUAUGUUGGGGAUCCUCAGCCUUUGGGGCAAUUGUGAGCGCAUACUUCAGCGGUUCUCUAGUGGAUACUUAUGGUGUAAGAUUUGUUUUUGGUGUUACGGCAUUUUUACCCCUGAUGACAUCUGCUGUUGCAGUUCUUGUAAAUGAACAGCGUUUGUGUUCUGAGGAACGUUCCAUCUCACUUCCAAGUUCAGGAUUGAUUGAAAGCUCUAAGCAGCAGAUCAGGCAGAUUUGGACUGCUGUAAAGCAACCGAACAUUUUCUUGCCUACUUUGUUCAUAUUCCUUUGGCAAGCAACACCACAGUCGGAUUCUGCCAUGUUUUAUUUCGUCACAAACAAGAUUGGAUUCACUCCAGAGUUUCUAGGGCGUGUCACACUCGUUACAUCUGUUGCAUCCUUGCUGGGCGUCGGAAUAUAUAAUUCGUUCCUGAAGGCAGUUCCACUAAGAAAAAUCUUUUUUGUGACAACAAUUUUAGGUUCUGUCCUUGGAAUGACACAGGUUCUGCUUGUCACUGGGCUCAAUAGGAAGCUGGGGAUAAGUGAUGAAUGGUUCUCCAUUGGGGAUUCCUUGAUCCUCACAGUCCUUGGUCAGGCUUCCUUCAUGCCUGUGUUGGUGUUGGCCGCGAGGUUGUGUCCCCUGGGAGUGGAAGCGACGUUGUUCGCCACUCUGAUGUCCAUUUCGAACGCGGGAAGUGUCGCUGGUGGUCUGGUGGGCGCGGGCCUAACCCAGUUUCUGGGUGUCACAAAGGACAACUUCGACAAUCUGGCUCUGCUGAUCGUGAUCUGCAACCUCAGCUCCCUGCUGCCUCUGCCUCUCCUGGGCCUCCUUCCAGAUGGAUCACCGGAUGCUGAUAAUGGGCAAACUAAAGUUGAUUGA